ACUAUUUUGGCAGAUUAGUGCAAUAAAUUUAGAAUUUAUAUAUGUAAAUUUUUUACAAAUAGUA
This 64-nucleotide transfer RNA is filed under the name Drosophila nigrosparsa. Its description in RNAcentral is "tRNA-Leu". The record is from RNAcentral. RNAcentral also lists the same sequence under 1 other name. Lineage: Eukaryota; Metazoa; Arthropoda; Insecta; Diptera; Drosophilidae.